This 477-nucleotide ribosomal RNA is filed under the name uncultured bacterium. Its description in RNAcentral is "SSU rRNA". It matches the Rfam family "Bacterial small subunit ribosomal RNA", at positions 26 to 523 of the family's 1533-position model. The record is from RNAcentral.
AGGACGAACGCUUGCGACGUGCCUAAGAAAUGCAAGUCGAACGGAUCAGCAGCAAUGCUGGUUAGUGGCGAACGGUCGCGUAACACGUGGGCAACCUGCCCUGAAGCGGGGGACAACAACUCGAAAGAGUUGCUAAUACCGCAUGUGAAUCGCUGUGGCAUCACAGAGGAUUCAAAGCCGCAAGGCACUUCAGGAUGGGCCCGCGGCCUAUCAGCUUGUUGGUGAGGUAACGGCUCACCAAGGCUUCGACGGGUAGCUGGUCUGAGAGGACGAUCAGCCGGAUUGGGACUGAGAUACGGCCCAGACUCCUACGGGGGGCAGCAAUUAGGAAUCUUGCACAAUGGGCGAAAGCCUGAUGCAGCGACGUCGCGUGAAGGAUGAAAUCUUUCGGGAUGUAAACUUCUUUUACCAGGAAGAAUAAAUGACGGUACCUGGUAGAAUAACGCCCGGCUAACUACGUGCCAGCAGCCGCGGUAA